Molecule: ribosomal RNA, 300 nt
Filed under: uncultured Fervidicola sp.
Lineage: Bacteria; Bacillati; Bacillota; Clostridia; Thermosediminibacterales; Thermosediminibacteraceae
Description: bacterial SSU rRNA
Rfam family: Bacterial small subunit ribosomal RNA
Source: RNAcentral
CAUUACACCGUUCCAGCGUCCGCGGAAAGCCAGAGGGUGCUAGUGUUGGUCGGAAUUACUUGGCGUAAAGCGCGCGUAGGCGGACCGUAAAGGUGGGGGUGAAAGACCGGAGCUCAACCUCGGAACUGCCUUCAAAACUAUUGGUCUGGAGUUCGAGAGAGGGGAGUGGAAGUCCGAGUGUAGAGGUGAAAUUCGUAGAUAUUCGGAGGAACACCAGUGGCGAAGGCGGCUCACUGGCUCGAUACUGACGCUGAGGUGCGAAAGCGUGGGGAGCAAACAGGAUUAGAUACCCGAGUAGUC